GAUGAACGCUGGCGGCGUGCCUAAUACAUGCAAGUCGAGCGAACAGACGAGGAGCUUGCUCCUCUGACGUUAGCGGCGGACGGGUGAGUAACACGUGGAUAACCUACCUAUAAGACUGGGAUAACUUCGGGAAACCGGAGCUAAUACCGGAUAAUAUAUUGAACCGCAUGGUUCAAUAGUGAAAGACGGUUUUGCUGUCACUUAUAGAUGGAUCCGCGCCGCAUUAGCUAGUUGGUAAGGUAACGGCUUACCAAGGCGACGAUGCGUAGCCGACCUGAGAGGGUGAUCGGCCACACUGGAACUGAGACACGGUCCAGACUCCUACGGGAGGCAGCAGUAGGGAAUCUCCGCAAUGGGCGAAAGCCUGACGGAGCAACGCCGCGUGAGUGAUGAAGGUCUUCGGAUCGUAAAACUCUGUUAUUAGGGAAGAACAAAUGUGUAAGUAACUAUGCACGUCUUGACGGUACCUAAUCAGAAAGCCACGGCUAACUACGUG
This 496-nucleotide ribosomal RNA is filed under the name uncultured bacterium. RNAcentral's name for it is "partial 16S ribosomal RNA". It matches the Rfam family "Bacterial small subunit ribosomal RNA", at positions 28 to 507 of the family's 1533-position model. The record is from RNAcentral.